This 890-nucleotide ribosomal RNA is filed under the name Streptomyces sp. RNAcentral's name for it is "bacterial SSU rRNA". It matches the Rfam family "Bacterial small subunit ribosomal RNA", at positions 82 to 983 of the family's 1533-position model. The record is from RNAcentral. Lineage: Bacteria; Bacillati; Actinomycetota; Actinomycetes; Kitasatosporales; Streptomycetaceae.
CGGGUGGGGAUUAGUGGCGAACGGGUGAGUAACACGUGGGCAAUCUGCCCUUCACUCUGGGACAAGCCCUGGAAACGGGGUCUAAUACCGGAUACUGACCUGCCAAGGCAUCUUGGCGGGUCGAAAGCUCCGGCGGUGAAGGAUGAGCCCGCGGCCUAUCAGCUUGUUGGUGAGGUAAUGGCUCACCAAGGCGACGACGGGUAGCCGGCCUGAGAGGGCGACCGGCCACACUGGGACUGAGACACGGCCCAGACUCCUACGGGAGGCAGCAGUGGGGAAUAUUGCACAAUGGGCGAAAGCCUGAUGCAGCGACGCCGCGUGAGGGAUGACGGCCUUCGGGUUGUAAACCUCUUUCAGCAGGGAAGAAGCGAAAGUGACGGUACCUGCAGAAGAAGCGCCGGCUAACUACGUGCCAGCAGCCGCGGUAAUACGUAGGGCGCAAGCGUUGUCCGGAAUUAUUGGGCGUAAAGAGCUCGUAGGCGGCUUGUCACGUCGGUUGUGAAAGCCCGGGGCUUAACCCCGGGUCUGCAGUCGAUACGGGCAGGCUAGAGUUCGGUAGGGGAGAUCGGAAUUCCUGGUGUAGCGGUGAAAUGCGCAGAUAUCAGGAGGAACACCGGUGGCGAAGGCGGAUCUCUGGGCCGAUACUGACGCUGAGGAGCGAAAGCGUGGGGAGCGAACAGGAUUAGAUACCCUGGUAGUCCACGCCGUACACGGUGGGCACUAGGUGUGGGCAACAUUCCACGUUGUCCGUGCCGCAGCUAACGCAUUAAGUGCCCCGCCUGGGGAGUACGGCCGCAAGGCUAAGACUCAAAGGAAUUGACGGGGGCCCGCACAAGCGGCGGAUCAUGUGGCUUAAUUCUACGCAACGCGAAGAACCUUACCAAGGCUUG